ACCCUAAUUUCCUCCUUCAUUUUUUCUGACUUUCGCCCAUCUUCAUUCCUCAGUUCCUCACCAAAACCCUUCAGUUCCUCAGUUCGUCCCUCAUCACCUCACUCCGACCACCAUAUCUCAGUUCAUUCCUUCAGUUCCGGUGUUUCCUUGUUCGUAUCUCAGUUCCUUCCGUCAGAUCCGGUGUUCGUACUCCCUCAAAUCCGCGGCGCGCCACCACCUUCCUCCGCCACUACCUCUCUCAGUCACUCAAAGUAUAAACUCUUUGAAGGUUUGAAGAGUUGAAGAUGCCGAAGCUGCCGCCAUUAUGUUGAAUCUGUUGCUAUGUUGAAGCUGCCAUGUGCCAUGUUGAAUUUAUUAGUUGAAUUUUAUUGCAUUUUUAAGACUUUUGUAAUUUGAAAAUUUAUUCUAAUGGCUGGUCUUUUUUUUUUUUUUUUUUUCUAUUAUGCUAUAUCCUAAUUUUGGCAAAUAUUAAGCUAUUUUAAGGGCCAAAACAAUAGGCCCAAUUUUUUAGGCCCAAA
Molecule: long non-coding RNA, 518 nt
Organism: Chenopodium quinoa (quinoa)
Lineage: Eukaryota; Viridiplantae; Streptophyta; Magnoliopsida; Caryophyllales; Amaranthaceae
Exons: 2
Source: RefSeq, a predicted model, not a curated record